This is a long non-coding RNA of Macaca mulatta (Rhesus monkey), 779 nucleotides long. Lineage: Eukaryota; Metazoa; Chordata; Mammalia; Primates; Cercopithecidae. The record is from Ensembl.
UUUCUUAGACUUUGGAUGGUGGAGACCUGUGCCUGCUACUUCUCUCAUCUCCUGAUACCUAAUGCAUAGUGUUCAGUGCUAUAGUGCUCAUGGUGCCACUACAUUGCUGGUCUGGAACUCCUGGUCUGAAGCAAUCCUCCCGCCUCCACUUCCCAAAGUGCUGGGAUUAUAGGCAUGAGCCACUGCAUUCAACCUCUUAAGGACUUUUUGAUCCGGCUUCAGUUUCUGCUCCACUGUUGGUACAAUCCUGCUUUUUAAAACACUUUGGAUCACAUUGGUGCUGCAUCAAAGCCUUCAGCCAACCUGGGAAGUGACCAGGACUCUGCAAACUCCUUAUGGCACCAAGGAAGAGAACCAAUGGCAGAAGUCACACAUGCAAGCAAGAUGGGAGUCUGGAGAGCCUCAGGCUAAAUCACCAGUGCUCAGCCCUCUUCUCUUUCCCCAGUAGGGGCCUUGCCUCUCCAGUGUACCCGGCUUUUGAAGGACCUUGUCUCCAUGUUUCCAUUGUUGAUGGAAGGACCGUGGCAGGACUUUGCUUUCCAGUGCCACUAUUAUGUCAGCAGGCUAGCCCUGAACCCCACAUGUUCAAAAAACGUGGCUAUACCAACUUGUCACAGCGCCCAUCCCACUUUCUAGAAGACUUUGAUAUCUCACUCAGAGCAACUCCUGCCAGGAGUUUAUAUUGUGUGCAGCUGAUUCAGGCAGUAACUUCCACUCAGCGAGGGGGUCCAUUUAAGAAAAAUUACUUCUCUUCCUUUUAUGCCCAGUAUGGUUCUUAA